GUUGUAUCUCAGAGGAUAUAACUUGGCUCAUGGAGUAUUCUAUUCCACAGAGGAAAUCUUUACUAUGUUGGAGUAAAGGUAGAAAAUGAGAAUCCACAGAACCUUGGCAGGAACAAUGUCUCGCUUUGACAGAACUAACGAUCAAUAAUCAUUGGUUAGUGAACUGUCAGACCCCUUGAAGAGAUUAAACUAUUAAUUAACACUUCAUCUGUUUUUAGCUGUCUUAGACUAGAGGCUUGCAAUUUCUAGCACCAUCAGCUUUAAUUAAACUAUGAAAUGAAUGCAGAAUGUAACUUCUAUCACCAGUUGUAGUAAUUAGUCUAUUAAAAUAUGCUUUGGUGUACUGAGAACAUAAUAGUUGCAGUUCAACUGUAAUUCUGGGAAAUGAGUUUCUAAGCAAAGGAAAUUCCAUAGGGAUAGGGUUUGAUGGCCACUCCUUCCUCCUAUGUAGAUGGGUUGGUGGUUCAAGCACUGUCUUGUGACAGUUUCUGUCGGGAAAAUGUGUAAUGCAUAUUGCAAAGAUUUGUUUGGAAGAGAUUCUUGUGAUGACCCUGAAAUGGGGGACACUCCUACUCUUCCUGGGUAAAAUUACAGCCUUGGAUACCCUCAUGCUCAACUAAACUGUGGAUUUCAUCUGCCCUCCUCCCCAGCUGUCAGCCCAACUUCUUCUACCAUCUGGAUCUCCUGUACUUCUACCCUGUUCCUGGGGUGUCCCUCGAUGUUCCACACAUGGUCCUGGCAUGGAUCUGUUCCUCCAGCCGUCACUUGUGUUCUGCUCUUGUAUUGUUAGUGUUACCAGCGGGGGAGCUUGACCCUCAGCCUCUCACAUUCUGGGGUGGAUUUUCUGGAUCUUCUUGUAACAACAUAAUUAUUAUAACCAGGAGAAAGGACUGUAAGGUGGAGAUAUGAGGAACCCUGAAGUCAAUGCAUUCUUUGGGUCACUGUGGAAAUGUGGAUGCAGCUCUAACAGGUGCUGGAGUCUUGCUCUGCUAUGUGUCAGAAGUUGGAGGAGAGGUUGGGGCAGUCCCUUAGCUGCCUGGGCCUGGGAUCUGGACCAGAGAGAACACUGUGGAUUGGGAUUGUGGAGGAGGCAGAUUCUUGGAGGAGACACCAUGAAAGCAGAGUCUAGGAGAGGGGUAAGAAAUGAAAGUGUGAAGAAGAGCAUGAAGAACAUUUUCAGUCUGCAUGUGGGGAAAGGUAGGGAAGGACUUGCUUCGUAUUCAUCCCUAUAUCCAGUAGAUUAGCUCAUUCCAUAAGUCUGACCUAUAAGAUGUAUUUCUGAUUUUUCUUUUCAUUUUGUAUAAUGGUAAUUGCCUUCAACUCUGAACAUUUUAUUUUUUGGAAUUUAAGGAGUGAAAUUUUGUAGUCGUUAUAGGUUCACAGCAAAAUUGAGAAGGUACAGAGAUUUCCUGUAUACCACCUGCCCGACUCAUGCACAGCCUCUCCCAUUAUCAAGAUCUCCCAUGAGAUUGAUGUAUUUGUUGGAAUUGAUGAAAAUUCAUUGACAUGUCAUAAUCAGAGUACAUUUUGUAAAAAUAUUUAUUUAUUUAUUUGAAAGUGAGAGUUAGAGAGAGAGAGAGAGAGAUGGAAUCUUCCAUCCACUAGUUCACUCCCCAAAUGGCCACAAUGGUCGUGACUGGGCCAGGCUGAAGCCAAGAGCCAAGAACUCCAUUUGGGUCUCCCAUGUGGGUGGUAGGGGUACAAUUGCUUGGGCCAUAUUCUGCUGCUACCCAAAGGAAUUGAAAACUUAUGUCCACAUAGCACAUUAGCAGGGAGCUAGAUUAGAAGCAGAGCAGCUGGGACUGGAACUAGUGUUCCAAUAAGGGAUCCGGUGUUGAAGGCUAAACCUGCUGUGUCACAACACUGGCCCAAAAUUCCUUGUUUACAUUAGGGAUUAGCUCUUGAUAUUGAACAAAAAUAUAAUGUUGGGUUUGAACAAAUGUGUGAUGACACAUAUGCACCAUUGUAGUAUCAUACAGAGUGGUUUCACUGCCCUGAAAAUCUUCUGCGCUUCAUCCGUCCUCCUGCCCAAUCCACGGCAAUCAAUAACCUUUUUAUUAUCUCCAAAGUUUUCUUUCCUGAAUGUCAUAUAAUUGGAAUCAGAGAGCAUGUAGCCUUUUACGUUUACUUCAUAUUUACUUCAUAUCUUUUCAUGGCUUGAUAGAUAAUUUCCUCUUAGCACUGAAAAAUAUUCUGUUGUCUGUAUGUACCACAGUAUAUUUCCACUACCCAACGAAGAGUUUUGCAAUUAUAAAUAAGACUACUACAAAAUAUCUACUUGUAGGUUUCUAUGUGGACAUAAGUUUUUAAUUCCUUUGGGUAGCAUGGUUACUGGAUCAUUGGCAGGAGUGUGCUUAUUUUUGUAAGAAACUACCAAACUGUCUUCCAAAGUGGCUGUACCAUUUGCAUUUCCAUGAAUGAGAGUUCUUGUUGCUUUACAUCCUGGUUAGAAUUUUGUGUCGUCAUUGUUCUGGAUUUUGGCCAUUCUAAUAUAUUUAUAGUAGUGUUUCAUUGUUGUUUUAAUAUUAAUUUCCCUGAUGACAUAUGAUGUAGAACAUCUUCUGACAUCUGUAUAGUGUUUUAAUGUUUUAUUUCAAAAUAGUUUUAAAUUUAGAAAACAAAAAUUGUGAGGUAGUAAUACAAAGAGUUCCCAUAUACUCCUCACCCAAUUCCCCUGGUUAAUGUCUAAGUAUCUUUGUCACAUUGAUGGACCACACCCAAAUUCCCCUAUGUUUAAAAAUCUCCAAAUCUUUUAUCCCCCCUAUAUUUCUUUGCCUCUAGUAAUCAAUAUUCUGUAUUCAAAUUGAAUUGUGAUUUUUAUUCUUUAAUUUUAGCUCCCACCUAUAAGGGACAGCAUGUGAUAUUUGUCUUUCUGUGUCUAGCUUAUUUCACUGUACAUAAUAGCCUCUGGUUCCUUUCAUUUUGCUACAAAUGACAAGAUUCCUUUUUAGCUGAAUAAUAUUCCAUUGUGUGUAUAUACCAUAUUUUCUUUAUCCAUUACUGAUGAUGGACUUUUUGGUUGAUUCCUCGUUUUGGCUAUAAUGAACAGAGCUUCUAUACACAUGGUGGUGCAUGUAUCUCUUGGUAUGAUGGGUUCAUUUCUUUUGGGUAUAUAUCUGGUAGUGGGAUUGCUGGAUCAUAUGGUAUUUCCAUGUCCUCUGUUUUUUAAUGGCACUAACCUUGCCUGAUGUUACAUUGUAUGCCCCCCACUGCUUUAUUUAUUGUCCACUUCUGCUUUUAGAAUGCAAACUAACUUUCUUUCUUUCUUUCUUUCUUUCUUUCUUUCUUUCUUUCUCUCUUUCUUUUUCUUUCUUUCUUUCUCUCUUUCUUUCUUUCUUUCUUUCUUUCUUUCUUUCUUUCUUUCUCUCUUUCUUUCUUUCUUUCUUUCUUUCUCUCUUUGACAGGCAGAGUGGACAGUGAGAGAGAGAGAGAGAGAGAAAGGUCUUCCUUUUUUGCCAUUGGUUCACCCUCCAAUGGCCGCUGCUUCUCCUGGUCUCCCAUGCAAGUGCAGGGACCAAGGACUUGGGCCAUCUUCCACUGCACUCCCAGGCCACAGCAGAGAGCUGGACUGGAAGAGGGGCAACUGGGACAGAAUCCGGCGCCCCGACCGGGACUAGAACCCCAGAGGUGCCAGCGCCGCAGGCGGAGGAUUAGCCUAGUGAGCCGUGGCGCCAGCCAAGAAUGCAAACUUCCAACAUAGUCCUCUAGUCUGUCUUGUUCACCUCCAUGUUCCUACCUCCAGGGGGUUUUUCUAUACCUUUGAUUGGUACUGCAGGAAGAGGAUUAAAUAUCAACAGUGGACUACAUUAGAUAUAAACAUCUCUGCUAUCUUAAGCCUUGGUUCCUAUCAUACUCGCAUCAUUAUCAAAUUAUAAUGAGGGGGCGCUGGCGCUGAGGCUCAGCGGCUUAAAGCCCUGGCCUGAAGUACCGGCAUCCCAUAUGGGCACCGGUUCUAGUCCCCGCUGCUCCUCUUCUGAUCCAGCUCUCUGCUAUGGCCGAGGAAAGCAGUAGAAGAUGGCCCAAGUCCUUGGGCCCCUGCACCCGCAUUGGAGACCUGGAAGAAGCUCCUGGCUCCUGCUUCGGAUUGGCACAGCUCCGACUGUUGCAGCCAUCUGGGGAGUGAACCAGCGGAUGGAAGACCUCUUUCUCUCUCUCUCUCUCUGCCUCUCCUCUCUCUGUGUAACUCUGACUUUCAAAUAAAUAAAUAAAUCUUUAAAAAAAUUAUAAUGAA
This is a long non-coding RNA of Oryctolagus cuniculus (rabbit), 4231 nucleotides long. Lineage: Eukaryota; Metazoa; Chordata; Mammalia; Lagomorpha; Leporidae. The record is from Ensembl.